Molecule: ribosomal RNA, 555 nt
Filed under: Sceptuchus simplex
Lineage: Eukaryota; Metazoa; Arthropoda; Insecta; Mantodea; Nanomantidae
Description: partial 16S ribosomal RNA
Rfam family: Bacterial large subunit ribosomal RNA
Source: RNAcentral
UCGCCUGUUUAUCAAAAACAUGGUCUCUUGAUUAUUUAGGAGAUUUAACCUGCCCACUGACAAGGUUUUGAAGGGCCGCAGUAUUUUGACUGUGCAAAGGUAGCAUAAUCAUUAGUCUUUUAAUUGAAGGCUGGUAUGAAUGGUUGGACGAGGUAAAUUCUGUUUUAUAUUAAUUUAAAUUGAAUUUAGAUUUUAAGUAAAAAUACUUAAAUUCUAUUAAGGGACGAGAAGACCCUAUAGAGUUUAAUAUAUUAAGUUUUAAUUGAGUUAAAAAGUAAUUUUUGGUUAAUUAUGUAAUGUAUUUAAUUGGGGUGAUGAAAAGAUAAGAGAAACUCUUUUUUAUAUUUUAUAUUUUAUAUAGUUUUAUGAUCCAUAUUUUAUGAUUAGAAGAUUAAAUUACCUUAGGGAUAACAGCAUAAUUCUUUUUGAGAGUUCAUAUUGAAAAAGGAGAUUGUGACCUCGAUGUUGGAUUAAGAUAAAUUUUAGGUGUAGAUGUUUAAAAGUUAGGUCUGUUCGACCUUUAAAUUCUUACAUGAUCUGAGUUCAAACCGGAGA